Molecule: non-coding RNA, 71 nt
Organism: Anaeramoeba ignava
Lineage: Eukaryota; Anaeramoebidae
Source: the annotation of a GenBank genome assembly
GGGCUUAUGGUCUAAUGGUAUGAUUCGUUCUUAGGGUGGACGAGGAAGGGGUUCAAUUCCCCUUAAGCCCC